This 140-nucleotide ribosomal RNA is filed under the name uncultured Actinomycetes bacterium. RNAcentral's name for it is "uncultured actinobacterium partial 16S ribosomal RNA". It matches the Rfam family "Bacterial small subunit ribosomal RNA", at positions 355 to 507 of the family's 1533-position model. The record is from RNAcentral. Lineage: Bacteria; Bacillati; Actinomycetota; Actinomycetes.
UGGGGAAUAUUGCACAAUGGGCGAAAGCCUGAUGCAGCGACGCCGCGUGAGGGAUAACGGCCUUCGGGUUGUAAACCUCUUUCAGCAGGGAAGAAGCGCAAGUGACGGCACCUGCAGAAGAAGCACCGGCUAACUACGUG